RNAcentral lists this ribosomal RNA (402 nucleotides) under uncultured bacterium. RNAcentral describes it as "bacterial SSU rRNA". It matches the Rfam family "Bacterial small subunit ribosomal RNA", at positions 355 to 774 of the family's 1533-position model. The record is from RNAcentral.
UGGGGAAUCUUGCACAAUGGAGGAAACUCUGAUGCAGCGACGCCGCGUGAACGAUGAAGCCCUUCGGGGUGUAAAGUUCUUUCGACAGGGACGAUAAUGACGGUACCUGAAGAAGAAGCUGCGGCUAACUACGUGCCAGCAGCCGCGGUAAUACGUAGGCAGCGAGCGUUGUUCGGAAUUACUGGGCGUAAAGAGUGCGUAGGUGGUUGGCUAAGUUUGGUGUGAAAUCUCCCGGCUUAACUGGGAGGGUGCGCCGAAAACUGGCUGGCUAGAGUGUGGGAGAGGAACGUGGAAUUCCUGGUGUAGCGGUGAAAUGCGUAGAUAUCAGGAGGAACACCUGAGGUGUAGACGGCGUUCUGGACCAUUACUGACGCUGAGGCUCGAAAGCGUGGGGAGCAAACA